GACACCACUCUCUCUCAUCCGAUAAAAUUGGAAGGAUACAUAGAAGAUUAGCAUAGCCCCCGCGCAAGGAUGACACACACUCUUUUAGUAGAUCACUAGUUUUUU
This 105-nucleotide small nuclear RNA is filed under the name Sorghum bicolor (sorghum). Lineage: Eukaryota; Viridiplantae; Streptophyta; Magnoliopsida; Poales; Poaceae. The record is from RNAcentral.